Molecule: long non-coding RNA, 1412 nt
Organism: Carya illinoinensis
Lineage: Eukaryota; Viridiplantae; Streptophyta; Magnoliopsida; Fagales; Juglandaceae
Exons: 2
Source: RefSeq, a predicted model, not a curated record
CCUGAAAAUUUAUAAAGCCAUGUAAGUGGCAAUACCUAAGCAUUCCGUUUCUAAUCAAUUGAGUGAAUUCCCCAAAAUGGGUAGUGUCCAGCCUUUGAAACAUCAAUCACAUAUAAAGAACUAAAGCAUCACAAGACUGACUUGUCCGGGGCAAAAGAAUAAGCCAAAGCUUGUUCAUAAUUGAAGCCACAAGGAAAAGGAGAUAAAUACCACAACAGUAUCAAGAGCCUCUUAUCUUCACAGGAAAACAAAGUAAAGAAGUGGAAUACAAGUCAAACCUGAAGCAUGGCAGCAUUUAUACUGAUCUCAGCAUCCACAGCCACAAGAGUUACAAGAAGAAUUGUUCCAGUUCCCUGUCCUUUGACUUUUCCUCCUGAAGUGUCCCUUUCCUCAACCAUGGCCCUGAACUCUUUUGAACUGUUCAAUGUAUGCUCACUUAGAUACUCAAUUGCUUCUUGACCAAAAUCCUCCUCCAAGCUUGGAACCUUCAUGUAUGCCAGGCUACAUAGUUGAGCAAGACCAGGCGCAGAGGAUACAGAAGUAUCAACAGGCCGUAACUGACUGUAUGCAACAAACUCUUGAUUCCCAUAAUCAACAUAGAAAACUUCAAACUUGUCUUUUGGGGAUUCCACGGCACCUCGAGGUGCACUGACAAUCUGUAUAGAUCAAAAGGAAGAAAUUAAGAACAAAUAAAAGCAUGUAAAUUGUACCCUUGUGUAUGUUUCUGCAGAAAGGAAAAAGGAACUGAAGAACGAGAUGAGGAAAGGUAAAUGAAAGAGUUAAGACGGUCCCCAACAAGUUGUAUUCUAAAUUUCUUCUAUUCUACCAUUCCUAUUCUCAACAAUAGGCUCAUAUCUCUUUGACUUGAUGUUAAUUCUACUUUAACCUUUCUGACGAUUAAUGAGCAAAAAUCACCCUUCUCCCAUAACACAAAGACCCUUAUAUUUCAAAAGGUAAUUUGUGUGCCAAUGAAACACAUGAAAUCCUAUUGCCAAUUAAUACCGAGAAAAAGAGAAAAAAAUGUUAGAAGAGAUUAUAUAUAGCAGCACUUUUGCCCCAACCCUCCUGUGUUUUGCCCCUUAGGAUUCACUUGUGCUUUUAUUUCUGAAGAUUUGCUUACUGAGGAACCCCAAGGGGUUGGCCCAAGUGGUACAGGCCUUGGUCUUGGGAUAUCACUCCCCUCAAAGGUCCAAGGUUCAAUACCUCAUGGAUGUAAACAAUCAUAUAGGGCCACACUCCUUAGUGAAAAGCUAGCGAUUUAACUAGUUCCAUGUAGGGAAACUUCCGAGGGUGCGGUGCAUAGGACCAGGGUUUACUCUGCAGGGAUAGGUCUGUAGGGCCUUGCCUUGGAGAGGUUCCCCGAUUAAAAAAAAAAAAAGAUUUGCUUACUGUGGUUCUGUCCUUAUAAAUUU